Molecule: ribosomal RNA, 253 nt
Filed under: uncultured bacterium
Lineage: Bacteria
Description: partial 16S ribosomal RNA
Rfam family: Bacterial small subunit ribosomal RNA
Source: RNAcentral
UACGGAGGGAGCUAGCGUUGUUCGGAAUCAUUGGGCGUAAAGCGCGCGUAGGCGGCCCGGUAAGUCCGCUGUAAAAGUCAAAGGCUCAACCUUUGAAUGUCAGUGGAUACUGCCGGGCUAGAGUCCGGAAGAGGCGAGUGGAACUCCUGGUGUAGCGGUGGAAUGCGCAGAUAUCAGGAGGAACACCGGUGGCGAAGGCGGUUCUCUGGGAAUGUCCUGACGCUGAGGAGCGAAAGUGUGGGGAGCGAACAGG